Molecule: transfer RNA, 85 nt
Filed under: Stigeoclonium helveticum
Lineage: Eukaryota; Viridiplantae; Chlorophyta; Chlorophyceae; Chaetophorales; Chaetophoraceae
Description: tRNA-Ser
Rfam family: tRNA
About the family: Transfer RNA (tRNA) molecules are approximately 80 nucleotides in length. Their secondary structure includes four short double-helical elements and three loops (D, anti-codon, and T loops). Further hydrogen bonds mediate the characteristic L-shaped molecular structure. tRNAs have two regions of fundamental functional importance: the anti-codon, which is responsible for specific mRNA codon recognition, and the 3' end, to which the tRNAs corresponding amino acid is attached (by aminoacyl-tRNA synthetases). tRNAs cope with the degeneracy of the genetic code in two manners: having more than one tRNA (with a specific anti-codon) for a particular amino acid; and 'wobble' base-pairing, i.e. permitting non-standard base-pairing at the 3rd anti-codon position.
Source: RNAcentral
GGAAAUAUGGCUGAGUGGCUUAAAGCGUUGGCUUGCUAAGCUAAUAUACUGUAAAGUAUCGCGGGUUCGAAUCCCGCUUUUUCCG